This is a long non-coding RNA of Scophthalmus maximus (turbot), 269 nucleotides long. RefSeq lists it as uncharacterized. The record is from RefSeq and is a predicted model, not a curated record. NCBI's taxonomy places the organism in Eukaryota, Metazoa, Chordata, Actinopteri, Pleuronectiformes, Scophthalmidae. The transcript has 2 exons.
CUGCACACAGAAAGGCCCUGGUUGGUUUGAACUGGGACUCAAACCCAGAACCUUGUUACUCUGCGGUUUCUAUGGUUACCACCAGCCAAUAACUGGCCAGCCGCCGCCUCCCCCCUGACGAGGAGCUGAACCAGAGUCUGACAGUGAACGAGUGCAACACUACACAGGAUGCUAAUUCUACAUUAGCCCUACCAUUCACUGCUACUACAAUAAUAAUAUAAUAUAUAUUAUUAUAUAUAAUAUAACACUUUAAUAAAAUGUAGUUGUUC